GCAUGAAGAAAGGAUCAGUGGUCAAGGGGAGAUAAUUUUGAUAUAUUUUAGAGUAUCUAACUAAUUUUCUGAUUUUCUUAGUUGCAGGCCUUUAUCCAGGUAUGCACAUAAAAUAGAUAGAAAUCUGCUAUCUUCAUUAAUCAUGAUCCAUGAAAAAAGAUCAUUUAUAUUUAAACUAUCUAAACUGGGGUAUUUUUUUAUAUAAUCAGUGAUAUCUCUUCUGAGGUUAUUGUACAAAGGGCAUUCCAGAAGAAAGUGCAUUUCAUUUUCAAUACAAUUUGUAUUACAAUAUAAACAUAUCCUCUCAUGUCGAGGUAAUAUUUCAUAUUUACCACAUACAUUGGUAAUUCGUUCAUGUCUGCCAGUUUCUAUUCUUAAACAGUGAUUGCUAAGUCUGAAUUUUGUUAAUAAAUG
Molecule: long non-coding RNA, 414 nt
Filed under: Mytilus galloprovincialis (Mediterranean mussel)
Lineage: Eukaryota; Metazoa; Mollusca; Bivalvia; Mytilida; Mytilidae
Source: RNAcentral